RNAcentral lists this ribosomal RNA (449 nucleotides) under uncultured bacterium. Its description in RNAcentral is "partial 16S ribosomal RNA". It matches the Rfam family "Bacterial small subunit ribosomal RNA", at positions 354 to 796 of the family's 1533-position model. The record is from RNAcentral.
GUCGAGAAUCUUUCACAAUGGGGGCAACCCUGAUGGAGCGACGCCGCGUGGAGGAUAAGGUCUUCGGAUUGUAAACUCCUGUCAUGCGUGAACAAGGUUGCUUGGAUAAUACCUGAGCAAAUUGAUGGUAGCGCAAGAGGAAGAGACGGCUAACUCUGUGCCAGCAGUCGCGGUAAUACAGAGGUCUCAAGCGUUGUUCGGAAUCACUGGGCGUAAAGGGGGCGUAGGUGGCGUGGCAAGUCAGAUGUGAAAGCCCGGGGCUCAACCUCGGAACUGCAUCCGAUACUGCCAUGCUAGAGUACUGGAGGGGUGACUAGAAUUCUCGGUGUAGCAGUGAAAUGCGUAGAUAUCGAGAGGAAUACCAAAGGCGUAGGCAGGUCACUGGACAGUUACUGACACUGAGGCACGAAGGCCAGGGGAGCGAACGGGAUUAGAAACCCCUGUAGUCC